AUCUCGCCUCCCCCUCCGCCGCCGCCAUGAAAUUCAACCCCAGGGUUUCCAGCUCCCGCCGGAAGAGCCGCAAGGCUCACUUCACCGCCCCCUCCAGCGUCCGCCGCGUCCUGAUGAGCGCCCCCCUCUCCUCCGACCUCCGCAACAAGUACAACGUCCGCUCCAUGCCGGUUCGCAAGGACGACGAGGUCCAGGUCGUCCGCGGUACUUUCAAGGGCCGCGAGGGCAAGGUCGUGCAGGUCUACCGCCGCAAAUGGGUGAUCCACGUCGAGCGAAUCACUCGCGAGAAGGUGAAUGGCUCCACCGUUAACGUCGGCAUCAACCCCUCCAAGGUCGUCGUCACGAAGCUGAAGCUGGACAAGGAUCGCAAGGCGUUACUGGACCGGAAAGCGAAGGGGCGUGCUGCUGAUAAGGCGAAGGGUAAGUUCUCAGCUGAUGAGGUGGCUGCUGCUGCUGGCUCUCCGUCGCUGCAAGAGGUCGAUUAGUCGAUUGACUUAUUGAGGUUAUUUUGUUAUCAAUUAGAACUUUCUGUUAAGUUUUGAUUUUGUUGGGAAUCUUGAAUUGUGGCUGUUUU
RNAcentral lists this unclassified non-coding RNA (574 nucleotides) under Hevea brasiliensis (rubber tree). Lineage: Eukaryota; Viridiplantae; Streptophyta; Magnoliopsida; Malpighiales; Euphorbiaceae. The record is from RNAcentral.